RNAcentral lists this non-coding RNA (212 nucleotides) under Jeotgalibacillus malaysiensis. RNAcentral's name for it is "T-box sequence". It matches the Rfam family "T-box leader". From Rfam's summary of the family: Uncharged tRNA acts as the effector for transcription antitermination of genes in the T-box leader family. T-boxes are found upstream of many aminoacyl-tRNA synthetase genes and some amino acid biosynthetic genes usually in Gram-positive bacteria. The record is from RNAcentral. Lineage: Bacteria; Bacillati; Bacillota; Bacilli; Caryophanales; Caryophanaceae.
CAAACGUCAAUGACAAAGAGAGUAGCUUGCUGUGGAUGUGAAGCGAGCCGGGGAUGGUGGGAGCCCGGUUGUGAAGCAGGGAGUGAAGCGCACUUUGGAGAUGCAGGUCUGAAACGAAGUAGGAGCUGCCGGGGAGAACCCCGUUAUCAAUUUGAGUGGUUGUGAAAACAAUGAGAGUGGUACCGCGGACGAUUCGAACGCCCGUCUCUUUU